RNAcentral lists this transfer RNA (72 nucleotides) under Marmota monax (woodchuck). Its description in RNAcentral is "tRNA.Ala". The record is from RNAcentral. Lineage: Eukaryota; Metazoa; Chordata; Mammalia; Rodentia; Sciuridae.
UGGGUUGUGGCUCAGGGGCAGAGCACUUGCCUUGCAUGAAGGAGGCAUGGGGUUCAUUCCCCAGCACCACAU